This 108-nucleotide small nuclear RNA is filed under the name Octodon degus (degu). Lineage: Eukaryota; Metazoa; Chordata; Mammalia; Rodentia; Octodontidae. The record is from RNAcentral.
GUGCUUGCUUCGGCAGCACAUAUCCUAAAAUUGGAACGAUACAGAGAAGAUUAGCGUGGCCCCUGCGCAAGGGUGAAAAUUACAGUACUCAAAGGGCUCAAAGAGAAU